UUGACGGGGAGCACCACAACGGGUGGAGCCUGCGGUUUAAUUGGACUCAACGCCGGGCAGCUCACCGGAUAAGACAGCUGGAUGAUAGCCGGGCUGAAGACUCUGCUUGACUAGCUGAGAGGAGGUGCAUGGCCGUCGUCAGUUCGUACUGUGAAGCAUCCCGUUAAGUCAGGCAACGAGCGAGACCCACGCCCACAGUUGCCAGCGUACUCUCCGGAGUGACGGGUACACUGUGGGGACCGCCGCUGCUAAAGCGGAGGAAGGAGUGGGCAACGGUAGGUCAGUAUGCCCCGAAUAUCCCGGGCUACACGCGAGCUACAAUGGUUGGUACAAUGGGUAUCUACCCCGAAAGGGGACGGGAAUCUCCUAAAACCAAUCUUAGUUCGGAUUGAAGGCUGCAACUCGCCCUCAUGAAGCUGGAAUCCGUAGUAAUCGCGUUUCAACAGAACGCGGUGAAUACGUCCCUGCUCCUU
RNAcentral lists this ribosomal RNA (473 nucleotides) under uncultured Methanolinea sp. Its description in RNAcentral is "bacterial SSU rRNA". It matches the Rfam family "Archaeal small subunit ribosomal RNA", at positions 871 to 1337 of the family's 1478-position model. Lineage: Archaea; Methanobacteriati; Methanobacteriota; Methanomicrobia; Methanomicrobiales; Methanoregulaceae. The record is from RNAcentral.